Molecule: long non-coding RNA, 14797 nt
Filed under: Durio zibethinus
Lineage: Eukaryota; Viridiplantae; Streptophyta; Magnoliopsida; Malvales; Malvaceae
Description: long non-coding RNA (DZIB_LNC002181)
Source: RNAcentral
AAGAGGUAAAGAAUUUGGUUUAUCUACAUGGAGCAUUGUGUGAGGCAAUAAGGCUGUAUCCACCGGUUCCGUUCCAGCACAAGAAACCUCUAAAACCUGACAUUCUUCCCAGUGGGCAUCCAGUUGAUCCAAAGACUAAAAUCUUGUUUAACUUGUAUUCAAUGGGAAGAAUGAAAUCAAUCUGGGGGGAAGAUUGCUUAGAAUUCAAGCCUGAAAGAUGGAUUUCGAAGCGAGGGAUUAAACAUGAACCAUCAUACAAGUUCUUGUCCUUCAAUGCAGGGCCAAGGACCUGCAUAGGAAAGGAAGUGGCAUUUGUUCAGAUGAAAGCGGUGGCAUCUGCUAUAAUUUACAACUAUUGUAUUCAUGUAUUGGAAGAAACCCCUGUUGUUCCUGCUUUAUCCAUUAUACUGCACACCAGGGAUGGACUGAUGGCUAGGCUCUCCAGUAGAUGGGACUAAAAAUGCAUGCUUGAAAGUUGAAUGGGUAUUGUAAUCUGAAACCUGGGGCAUUUGCUAUGUAGUUGAUUUAAAUCUGGAAUAAGAACAUGCAGCUCUUCUAGCCUUUUCCAUGUUAGUAAUAACAUUGAAUGUUGCUGCUCCUCAUAAUUUGAUCUGUUUCUAUCAUAAAAUUCAUUCAAGAAAUUGAUCAAAUACAAAAAGAAGCCAGCUUUCUUACAAAGUACAAACAAACAAUUAAACUUGGUUUUAAGUGGGGACAACUUUUGUUUGAUUGGUAGUCUAAUUGAUUAUCACAUGAUCAUUACAUAUCACAAGACAAUUUUUUUAGAGAAAAAAAUUUCAAAAACAAAGUAAGAUGGAAAAUGAGGAAAAAAUAGAGAAAGAAAAUCAAAUAAAAAUAGUAACGAAAACAAAGUAAAAAAAAAAAAGAAACAUUGGUAAGUGAAUAAUCAAAAUAAAGAUAUGUCAACAUUCAAUAAUGAUACAAAAUAAUGAAAAUAAAACAAAGUUUGGUUCAUUAAGAUAAUAUAAAACAUUAAAUAAUGAUUAAAAUAAUAAGAAUAUUACUUAUUCUCUAUCUUAGGGGAUCCUUGUAAACAAUAUACAUAAUGUUGAUUUUAUUGAUAGUUUAGAAUAUAUUGUAUUUCAUAUUGAAUAAAAAUAUUUAAUUAUUGAUAAAUAACAUUAAUUUUUAUAUUAAUUUUUUUAUAUUUUAAAUAAUUAUGUUUGAACAAAAAUAAUUAUCAUAAAAUAAAUAGUUAUAACUAUCUGAAUAUAAAUAAAUUAUUAUUCAUAAAUAUCAUAAUUAUAUAGAAUGUUAUAACAAAGGUUUAUGUCUGUUUAUUUAUUAUAAAUAAAUCUUUUAAUAUAAUAAUUUUUGCUACUUUUAAUUUGAGAGUGUGAAGUUUUAUUAUAUCCAAAAAGUAUAAUUACCUUUAAAAAAAUAUUUUUCACUUCUUAAAGUUAAAAUUUUUUAUAUUAUUUUUUUCUCUUAUUUAUUUUUUCUAAUAUGCUCUUCUUUGUAUAUUAUAUACAUAGAAGCUGUACAACAUAGAUUAAGGAAAAAAAAAAUCCAAUUAAAAAUUCGCACUUAAAUAUUCGGCAAAUGUCAUAAAUCAUUAGAAAUAGCGUGAGCAGACUCAUUUAAGGGUUUCUCAACUUGCACGAUAACAGUUUCCUCAACCAUAAACCAAGUGCCGCUGUUACGCUUCUCUUCAUCAAAUGACUUAGAACAGCUCCGUAAAGAAACAUAUAACAUAAUGGUGAACACAAGAUGGAAACCUUUGUCACUCACUAAGGAACAAUUAUCCCAAGAAUUUUUAUGAGGUUUUUUCAACAAUGACGUGGUGCUUGAUACUACCAGAUAUAGAAAGAUGGUUUCUCUUCAUUGUACUGCCCUAUUUCACAAACUACAGAUUGAAUUUGAUGGGAGAGAGUGAUGAACCAAAGAAGAAACAAUGUCAGGCUUCUUCUUCUUCUAGAUUUGUUCAUUCUUAAAUUUGCAGAAAAAAGAAAGAAAAAAAAAGUUGAAUCAAUUGGUAUUGGCAUUUGCUCUAGGCUAUGUAAUUAGGGUAUGGUUUCGUAUUUGUUCACGUUCAACAAAAUAAAGGUUAACGUGGUGUUACCACCUUGCUUCUAGGCAACAGUUUCUGAACAUUUCAGAAGGUUCAGUGGGGUGAUAUCUUUAAAUCUGUUUCCGUUUUUUAUUAAUAAAUUUCAAAAUUAUAAUUACAUAAAAAUAUAAAUUAAAAAUCUCAUAUUAAAAUAAAAUUUUAAUUAUAAAUCACAAGUUUCAUGAAAAUAAAUUCAAAUAUGAAAAAAGUAUAAACUAUAUCAAUACCAAAACAUAGCAUUAAUUGAAGAAACAUAUGGCAUUCUAACACAAUUCCAACUCAAUUCAAGAUUUGAUGAAAAAAAUAAAUUAUGAAAUAAAAAUAUAGUUAAUAAAAUUAUAUUAGUAAUAUAGUUUUUAUUGAAUUUAUAUAUAUAUAUAUAUAUAUAUAUAUAUAUCAAUGGAUAGUUUCUAUAAUUUUACUCUCGUAAUAAAGUGCAAAUAAUAUCUUCUAAUUUAUUUAUUAAGAUGCGAGUUACUUAUUUUAUUUUUAUAAAAAAAAAUAAAUAGAUGUUAAUUAAUGGUAUUGCCAACCACUCCAAAUUUGAUAUUUGAUGGGAGGAUUUCCCCAACAAAGAGAAAACCUAAGAAAAUGAAAUUUCCUUUAUUUAUAUAUUGACUAUACGUAUGAAAUUAAACCAAACAUACUCUUUUAAUAUCAAUUCAAACCAAUUAGGACAAUAUUUGUUUGUUUCCAUAGUUUAAUUAUACCAUUACCUAAUAAAAAUAAUAAGGUUCGGAGUUUUAUCAAGGAUUGUAUUUUAGAAUAUACUAACCAACAAGAAGUUGGGGAGUUUUGAUCCCAUCAAUAUAUCAUUACAAUAGGAAUUUCAUUUUGGCCAAACACGCCUUAUUCUAUCAAUUCUAUAAUUGGAUUUUUUUUUUUUUGUGAAUUUUUGUUCUUACGAGUUAAAUUUUAAAUACAUAUUUAGUCCAAAAUUAAUUAACUAUGGAGUGAUAUAUUAUUUGUGUUUAAGAUGUCUUUAGCUUAACUAAUUAUAUGAUAAUUUUUACCAUUAAUUUAAUACUCUUCUGGCCCACAUAUGUAUGGACAAUAAUUAUUAUCAUAUUUAUAUUUCAAGAAAUUAUUUAAUAUAUUAAUAGUUAAAUUUUAUAACUUCAUAGAGUUAAGACAAUGACACAUAUUUUAUUUUUUAAUUAUUUUUUUAUUUUUUUAUAUAUAUAGUAAAAGAUAUGUAUAAUCAUUUUAAAUCCGUUUGUAAAAUUAAAAAACUUUAUUGUCAUUGAAUUUGAUAAUUUUUUAUAUAUUUUUAUAUUUUGCAUCAUAUUUUUUGACACUAUCAUGUGGUAUGAAAUAAAAGUCAUUUCACUUCACUGAAAUUUGAAAUAUCUCUAUAUCUAACGUAAUUCUGUUACAUGUCAAUUUCAUAAAUAAGCUAUUCUCUUAUUUUAAAAAAAAAAAAUCUUUCUAUUUUUUUGAUUGUAUGACUCUAUAAAUUAGUUUGAUUUUUCAACUUACAAAUUAAAACUUUACAAUUAUCUAAAAGUAUAUUCAAAUUAAUAAAUAUUUAAUUUAGCAAUUAUCGGUUUCUUUACCCUAUUAUCACAAUUACUUUAUUCAUGAAUAGAAAGUGAAAAGUUUAAUUCAUUAAAUCCAAAAAAGAUGAAACCUUUUCCUCUUUCUUAUCUAUCUAUUUUCUUGUAAAUCUAUUUAAUUUUGUUAAUUUUUCAAAAGCCUUUAUAAGCAAACCUUAAAAAAAAAUUUAUCCAUUUUUUUAUUCUUCAAAUUUUAUCCAGAUUUUGCUUUCUCUAAAAAAAAUUCAUCGAAUUGUAAAGUUUUUUUUUUUUACCAUUUUUUUUAAACUCCUAUGAUUUAUUGAUGAAUAUACUAACUAAUUUAUAUUGCCCUUUUGCAGAAUCUAUUAGUUAAAAAACUUAACUUACAAUUUUGAAAAAUAUUGAAAAAAUCUAAUAAUGAAUUUGUUGAUUUGUGCUAUAAAAUUCUCCAUUCAUUUCAUUUUUUUUUUUUUUUUGUUGUACAUGAUAGAUCUCACUUUCGUUUUUAGAAAACUUAAUAUUUUGUAGGUUAAUAAAAUAAGUAUAUAUAAAUACGUUUUAGUGUUUUUAAGUAUUUUUAAUUGUUGUUAUUGUUGAACCGCAACAGCGUGUAGAACACUACAUAGUAUAUAUUAUUUUUAAAUGUAAGUUUAUUUAAUAAUUAAAUAAUUUAUUAUUUUUAAAAUAUAUCUUAAUAUAUAUUUUAACUCUUCAAUUUUACUUGUGAAAUUUAAAACUCUAUUGUCAUACAAGAUAAUAAUCCUUUUUUUUGUUAUCGGUACUUAAUUUUUGUAAAGACAUUGUUAAUAUCUAAAGAUUUUGUAUAAAAAUUUUAUAUUCAUAUAUAUUUAUAUUUUCAAAUAAUCUUUUAGUCCCUUUUUAUAAGUUUUGUUUUGUCAUUUUCGUGGAUUAAAAAUAAAACUAAUAAAUGAUUAAAAAUAAAGAAUAUCGGGUGUUCAAAAAAAAAUUUUAAGAGAUUAAAAAAAUAAAUAAUAUAACAAAAAAUGUGUAAUUAAUUUUUAUUUCAUUGAGUAAUAUUUUUUAUUACACCAUUAGGUAUGAAUUUUAUGUGUAAAGAUAAUGCACUUGUCUAAUUAUUUUAGGAAGCUCAAUAAAUAUUUCACCUCAUUACAUUUUGCAAGUUUUGUAGUUCCUCAAAUUAAUAGAAAACAUCUUUAAAUUAAACUCUUUAGAACUCAUUUGAAGAGGAAAAAAAAAAGAAAAUGAGAUAUAUGUUACUAUUUUAAUUUUAUUUGUGAAGUUAAAAAAUUUUAAUAUUAAAUAAUUUUUAAAAAACCCUUAAAGUAUUAUACUGUUAUUUUAUUUUUCUUAAAUAAAUUUUUAUAUUUUUAUUUUACUCAAAUAAAUUAUUAUCUUUUGAUUUCUAUCCAUAUAAACUCUUCUUUCAAACAAAAAAUCAAAUUACGUAAAGACUUUAUUUCAAUAUAAAUUACAGAUUAAAAAUUUAUCUGAAUUAUUUAAAUAAAAUAAUAAAAUAUAUUAAUUUUUAUGUUAUUGUAACCAAAAUAAAACAAAGGGAAAAAUAACUUUAUUGCAAACCCUACCAACCUCAAACGAAAAAAAAAUUUUAAUCUUUUCUUGUAGAAACCUUCACCCAAUCAAAUACGUAGGAUCAGAACCUUAAUGAGUGUGUAUUAAUUUAAAUUAAUUGAUUUUAAGUUAAUAUCAAAUUUUAUCUUUAAACAAAAAAAAAAAAAGAAGAGUUUUUAUGAUUAUACGAAAAGUUACAUUAAGAUAAAUAAAUUUAUGAUUAUUUUUUAUAGUUAAAUUUUUUUAUUUUUUUACUCAAUAAUAUUCUUUUUUAUUUGUAGUUCUGACAUAAUAUUAUUUAGAUUGUAAUAUUUUUUUUAUAUUUAUGUAUCUUUUAAUUUGAUUGUCAACAGAAUUCUUCGUUUACUGUUGAAAAAGAAAAGAGUCAAGAAUUGGUAACUUUUCAAAUAUAAAAUCAUACGUUAAUCAAGCAAAACGUCUUCAUUUUAGUUUUUUUUUUUUUAAUAUUUACGUAUUCUUAAUAAAAUUCUAACUCUUGUUCAAUUACGUGAUACUUUUAAAUAGGAUAUGAUAAUAUGAUAUUAAAAUAAUAAAAAUAAAAUAUAUAAAAAUAAUAUAAUUUAAAAUUUUAAUAAAAAUUAUAAAAUAAAUUUAAUAAAAUUAAAAACAUAUUUUAUAUUUUUUAUUAAUUAUAAUACAUAAUUUUUAUAUAAAAUAUAAAAUAAUUAUAUAAAUUAUUAAUAUUUUAUAUUAUAUAAAUACACGUAUUGUCGGGCCUAACUGUCGCCCGCUCAGCCUCACCUUAAUGAUGUGAAAGGGUAGAAAAAAUCACUUGGGUCUAUCUUCAAUUCUGUGGAAGGAGUUAAUUGCGGCUCCACCUCUCAACCACAUCAUAUUUGUUGGACUCUUCUACUUUCCUUUAUAUCCAAUAAAUUUUUCUUAGAUUUUGAGACUCAUUGGAUAUAUUGUUUGCAAGCUGGUACUUGUCAAGUAUCAUACCCAAGGCUUUUCAGGCUUUUCUGGUUUUCAAUUUCAUGGCAUUAAUCAGUAUUUUUGAACUUGUUUUGGCCUUCAUUUGCUUUCUGUUUCUCUGCUGCUUGAGAAAUAAGAACGAUGGGACUCCAAAGAGUUUCCCGCUUGUUGGGAUGAUGCCUGAUCUUCUCCUCAACAUUCAUCGGAUUCACAACUGGUGCACUGAGGCUCUCGAAAGAAACCAUUGCACUUUUCUUUUCAAAGGCCCUUGGUUUGCUAAGAUGAACAUGUUGGUGACCUGCGACCCUGCCAACAUUCACUACAUAAUGAGUUCCAACUUUCAGAACUUCCCCAAGGGAUCUGAGUUCAAGGAGAUGUUUGACAUCCUGGGAGAUGGGAUUUUCAAUGCUGACAUGGAUUUGUGGAAAGAGCAGAGGAAAUCUGCUCAAGGAUUCAUGAGACAUCAGCUGUUCCACCAAUUUUUGUUGAGGACUAGCCGAGCUAAGGUGGAAAACGGACUAAUCCCUGUCCUUGAACAUGUUGCCACACGAGGCUUGGUGGUCAACUUGGAAGAUAUUUUCCAGAGGUUUACAUUUGAUUCUACAUGCAUCUUGGUUACUGGCUACGACCCCGAGUGCCUUUCCGUGGAAUUCCCUGAAGUUCUUUUUGCCAAGGCCUUGGAUUAUGCCGAGGAAGCCAUAUUUUAUCGACAUGUCAGGCCACCAACCCUUACUAAGUUGCUAAAGUGGCUGAACAUUGGGCAAGAGAAGAAAUAUAGAAAGGCAUGGGAAGUUCUUGAUGACAUAAUUGCUAAAUAUAUAUACCAGAAAAGGAAAGAACUGAACAAAAUGAACGAAGGGUUCAUAUGUAGAGAAGGUGUAGACCUCUUAACAUCAUAUAUAUUAACUGAUCAAGAGAAGUCAUCAGGUUUGAAAUGUGAUGAUAAGUUCUUGAGAGACACCAUUUUGAGUAUGAUGCUAGCAGGGAGGGACACAACGAGCUCUGCUCUCACUUGGUUCUUUUGGCUGCUUUCUAGGCAUCCGGAGGUGGAAAACAAGAUCAUGGAAGAGCUUAAAUCAGCCAUACCCGCCAGAGGAAACCCAAAAGAAGCGACUAUUCAAUGCUGAAGAGGUAGAGAAUUUGGUUUAUCUACAUGGAGCAUUGUGUGAGGCAAUAAGGCUGUAUCCACCGGUUCCGUUCCAGCAUAAGGAACCUGUAAAACCUGACAUUCUUCCCAGUGGGCAUCCAGUUCAUCCAAAGACUAAAAUCUUGUUUAACUUGUAUUCAAUGGGAAGAAUGAAUUCAAUCUGGGGGAAGAUUGCUUAGAAUUCAAGCCUGAAAGAUGGAUUUCGAAGCGAGGGAUUAAACAUGAACCAUCAUACAAGUUCUUGUCCUUCAAUGCAGGGCCAAGGACCUGCAUAGGAAAGGAAGUGGCAUUUGUUCAGAUGAAAGCGGUGGCAUCUGCUAUAAUUUACAACUACUCUAUUCAUGUGUUGGAAGAAACCCCUGUUGUUCCUGCUGUAUCCAUUAUACUGCACACCAGGGAUGGGCUGAUGGCUAGGGUAUCCAAUAGAUGGGACUAAAAAUGCAUGCUUAAAAGUUGAAAGGGUAUUGUAAUCUGAAACCUGGGGCAUUUGCUAUGUAGUUGAUUUAAAUCUGGAAUAAGAACACGCAGCUCUUCUAGCUUUUUCCAUGUUCGUAAUAACAUUGAAUGUUGCUGCACUUCAAAAUUUGAUCUGUCUCUAUCAUAGAAUUCAUUCAAGAAAUUGAUCAAAUACAAAAAGAAGCCAGCUUUUUUACAAACUACAAACAAACAAAUAAACUUGUUUUUACAGAAAGUACAAACAAACGAUUACACUUGGUCUUAAGUGGGGACAACUUUUAUUUGAUUGGUAGUCUAAUUGAUUACCACAUGCUUAUCUCAUAUCACAAGAAAAUUUUUUUUUAGAGAAGAAAAUUUAAAAUACAAAUUAAGAAAAUGAGGAAAAGACAGAGAAAAGAAAAGAAAAGAAAAGUUGUAAUGAAAGCUAAGAAAAAGAAACUUUGGUAAAUAAAUAAUCAAAAUAAAGGUAUGUCAACAUUCAAUAAUGAUACAAAGUAACGAAAACAAACAAAGUUUGGUUCAUUGAGAUAAUAUACAACAUUAAGUAACGAUUAAAAUAAUAAGAAUAUUACUUAUUCUCUGUCUUAGGGGAUCCUUCCAAGUAAUGUACAAUAUGUUGGCUCAUCUCUGUAUAUUGUAUACAUAGAAGCUGCACAACAUAGUUUAAAGAAAGGAAAAAAAUCCAAUUAAAAAUUCACACUUAAAUAUUCACCAAAUGUCACAAAUCAUGAGAAAUAGUGUUGAGCAGACUCAUUUAAGGGUUUCUCAAAUUGCACGAUAACAGUUUCCUCAACCACAAACCAAGUGCCGCUAUUGUGUUUCUCUUCAUCAAAUGACUUAGAACAGCUCUGUAAAGAAACAUAUAACACAAGGGUGAACACAAGAUGGAAAGCUUUGUCACUCAAAAUAAGGAAAAAGAAAAGUGUACAUAAUCUGCCAGGUUCCACAGAAGCAGAAUGCUUGAACUCGUAAGUGGUUAAAGCUUACAACCCUAAGGAACAAUUAUCAAUUUAGAAAGCACAACAGCAAUUGUACUAAAAAUAACACACAGCAGCUCUUUUAAUCAUUCAGGUCAAUUCCAGUGAAAAAAGAUUCUCUGAGUUAAAACAUCAAUAGUAACAAUCAAACAAGCUGUUGUUUCUCAUUUUGAAGGGAGGGCCAUAGAGGGAGAAUAAAAGGUGGAUAGGGGUGUUAUCCAAGAGUUGACAACUCCCCUUGGAACAAGUAUAGACAGCAAGCAUCAGCCAGUUCCAAUUCUCCAGAGAACCUUUAUCACAAGCAUCAGCUUCUUCUUGCAGAAAAUAUAUUAAUGGCGGCAUAAGCUGCAUUUCAAAGUGCCUCGAAGCACCACAAAGCUCACAAUUCCCAGCAUCUCCCACCUCUGUUGCAGCCAGAAGAGGCUUCCCACCAAAUGCAUAUCUGAGAACAUAAAGGGCAGUAAGAAACUUUUAUUCACUCUCUAUUUGAGACAUUAAGAAGUUAAACAAACAAUAUUAAUAUCAUUUCUCCUUUUUUUUUUUUGCUCAUUUUCCUUGCAGUGGGAGAAUGAUACUGAGAGUAACAGUGCCUAACUCAAAUUACUAAUAGAAUCAACGUUAACCAAUAAAUCUUCCUGCAGUAAUCUGGGUGAUGACAAAGUGAAUGUUCCCUGUUCUUUUUUUUUUUUUUGGGUACAUUUAUUAUUCCACCGUUGAUGAACUUUUGGAGUUUAACUAAGGCCUAGCAAUGAUGAAAUCAUUAACAUAUAGUUUAACUAAGGCCUAGCAAUGAUGAAAUCAUUAACAUAUAAUAAGGAACAAUAUGCAUUAUCCCAUCCCUUAUCAACUUUGCAUUGAUCCCAGUGAUGGUACAGAAAUGGGAGGAAGUCUAUAUGCCAAUUUAAGCAAGGCUUGACAGCAUAUGCAUUCAACAAAUAACCCUAAAUGACCAGAAACAUUGCUCUGGAGAUGCAUCCAAUUGUUUCUUGAACUUGAGAUAAGUCCUGUCAGCAUUCAGAGCCUUAUCGUAUUCAUAAUUUUCUGCUUCCCAUGUUUCUUCUUGUCCAUGAUCUUCAACAUCACUUUCUUUCUCCUUGACAGAAAGUGAAGAGUAAUUUGAACACAUAGAAACAAAAUCCUUCGAUGAUGGUUCCACCUGACAAUAAAUGUAGAAGCAUGGCAUCACUGCAAUAAAGGAACAAAAUGAGUUGAGAAAAAGCAUUGUUAACACAACAAAAAUUUUUUGUUUAGUAUACAAAAAAUAUGAGGACAUAAUUUAGAUGGUAAUUUGAAGAGAUUUUGAAAUCAUAAUACAACUCUCCAGACCAGAAAGUAUAAGGAAAAAAAGAAAGUUCUUAUAUUACUGCUUUCCACAUCGAAGAGAAAGAUGGAGAAUACAGUGUUUGCAGCAAUGUGUGGAACAACUUGGUUGUUAUGCAACUUAUUAACACCAAUGGCACUUGGGCUAUAAAAAAAGAUUGCCUAGAUUCAAAGCCAUCACAUAUGAUUAUAUACAUAAAGUACUUCUGACAAGUAACACAUCACAGAAAAGGGCAACCUCACCUGGUGGAUCAGUAUCUAGCCCAAUCGUUUGUGCAGGUAAACGCAAAGACUGCUUCACAGAACUCUCAGAAUUCCGGUUGCUAUUUGUCUUCUUGGGUUGUGAACUCAAGCUUGCUGCUUCAGCAAAUGCUUUUCUCAAAUCCUCCAGAUCCACAUCUUCAUCAUCCUCAUCACCCAAAUCCUCCCACCAGCUAGUUUUUGAAACAGAAACAGAAGAUGCAGCUGCAAGAAUUUUGUCCGGAGUAGCAGCAGAGGAUGAUUCAUUUGUUUUGUUCUCCAUUUUCUGAACUCGAAGAGCACGCCAACUAUAUAGUCAUAUUUCAUUAAAAAAAAGUACACAUCUAAAUAGUCAUUUUUCUUGUACAAAAAAGAGAACAUAACAUUAUACAGUUAAAAUAUUACAUUUCAUUGAUAAAUAAUGGUCAAACAAACAAUUCAGAUAAAGAACCUGAGAGGAGUGCUACCACAACUUGGUGUCACACACCCUAAAACCAGAAGAAGACGCUCUUCUAUCUUUACAGUUUCACUUGAAACUGGAGCAUAAACCUGAAGAGAAAUUUAGCAAAACAACAUAAAUUAUUGCAUUUCCAUAUUGAAAUUUUGUUGCAACGUGAAGAAAAAGCAUUAGAGUCCAAAUAUAAGAGUACAAAGGAAAAACCUGAGCAACAAGACAGAGUUUACUUCCACGUUGAGAGCAGUGAAAAAGGGUGGGGUUUAAAGCCUCCAUAGGAAGAGGCCAAUCCUGUUAAAAAAACAGAGUGAAGGGUAAUUUUUACAGGUUGAUAAAACAGAAAAACAAAAAAAAGCCAACAAAAAGAGAAAUGGUAACGAUAUGUAGACGUAAAGAGAAAGAGAUUUACAGGAAGUCCACCAAUUUUUGUAGUAUAAUGAUCAGAGGGCUCACGGUUAUCCUCAGCCCCUGGCCCUGGCAAGCCAAGCAUUACUCCACUCAUGUCAGUAGCUCUGAUACAACAUAAACAAUGAAACAUGAUGAAAAAAAAAAAUAGUAAUUCAACUAUUUCCCAAGAAAACCAAAGAGAAAAGAUAUAAAUUCUGGGCAAACCCCUAACUCUAAGGAAAAAACCAACUUUCUUGUCAAAUGAAUGUUUGUUUCUAAGGUUUCGGUGUUUUCGAUUGGGAAAUUUGGAGGAGUGGUGGCUCACUUUUUGCUCAAUCGGCGGAUGCUUUGCUUGCUUUUCUCCAGUACUCUGUUUCAAGUCUCCAAAUUUGAGGGGUUUUUUGGGGAAAAUAUUUGGUCAAUAAACUAUUAUCUUAUUUUUAAAAUGUUCAUCUAUUUAAUCUUACUAAAGUACGAGUAAAUGAUUUUUUUUACUCAAUUAUUAAUUUUUAAUAAUACAUCGUGAUAUCAACAAAUGAUUAAUUUAAUUGAUUAAAGUUUAAAUUUUUUAAUAAAAAAUUUUAAAUUUAAAUUUUAUCGAUUAUCAUAUGUUAAAAAUAUACUAUCUAUAAUAAUUUAUUUAAUAAAUCACUUGACGUUGUUAAUAUAAUAUUAUAAAUUACAUUAAUGUAAUAAUAACACAUGAUACAUAAUCCCUAACGUAGCAUUAUAUGUUUUUACAUUGUUAGAUAUUAUAAGAGACUAAAAAUUAAUUAUUUAAAUUUUGAUGACAAAAUUAAAGAUUUUGUUAAUAAUUUAAUAAUCAUGUUAAGAACAUAUCAUAAUUAAAAGACCAGUUAUAUAAUAUAUUUUUUUAAGGUAGGGAAUUAAACAACAACGUUUAAUUCACAGCAUAUUCAGAAAAUAUUACGAAAUUUGCUUAGGCAGGAUUAUAUAAAUUUUAGUUAUGUAUUAACGCAUGUGACAUUGAUAUAAGGUUUUUUAAAAAAUUAAUAUAACAAAAAAAUAAAUAGUAAUACUUGACAAUUUUAUUAAACGCUUAAAAAAUCAACCGUCUAUGAAAAAUGGAUCCUUAAUGCCAAUCUAAAUAAACUAUUAAUUAAGAUACUUCUUCCAAAUAAUAAUAAAAAAUAUAUACUAUUAUAAAGAAAUAGCAUUUGUUUACAUCAACCCCAGGGAUUUUUUUUUUCCCCUUUUUAAGCUCAAGCAUUCAAGAUAGCCUGCCAGAAGCCUCGAAGAAGUCCACAUAUUUCAGUUUAAUUUUAAUAUUUGUAUGAGAUUGAGCCUGAAUCUGGACCAGCCUUUAGUUGCCACUUUUAUCCAUUGAAUGUCACCCUGCAUCACAUUUUCAGGCUGCAAGAAUUGCAAAUGGCUUGGAAGUAUAGUAAGAACUCAACUCUAUCAUAACUCAAUUUAGAACUGUAUUUCUGUCAAGAUUUUAUAUACAGAUAGUGCUGGUGGUCAUUCACAUCCUAGGCACUUUACACUGUAAAAUUGAUUAACCAAUGGAUCAUCUUUAACCAAUGUAUGUAUAUAUAGAUUGAAUAUUUCAUUUCCAUCUCUUGGAAUUCUUCAGCCCUUUCGACUUUUGUUUAGCAGCUUGAAACGCCUUCAUUUUCUGCUUCUUUCGAGCUUCCUUCUCAGCCUGUUAAACCAAGGGAUAUAGAAAGGUUGCGAUUAUGUAUGUAAACCAUGUGACCAUAACCUAUCCAGUUUAGAAAGCUAGGAAUCACAAGGGUAAUGCUUACUUUGGACAUCUUGGAUUUGGCUUUCACUUUAGGAGCUUUCUCUUCAAGAUCUGCCUCACGCUCAAGCUACUUUGCCCUUGCCUCAAGGUUCUUCUCCAGAUAAUACUGUUCAACAGAAAUUUGUGCCAACAGUUAAUCCGGAAAGAAAUGACGCAGUCAACAGCAUAUUUCAGUUAAAUACCCCAAUAAACUUAGCUGAUGGAGAAAAAUAGCAAACAAGCAUCUGAAAGUUUAGAUUCUGGAUGAACUCAUGGAAGAUAGAAAAAUUCAGUUCUUUACCAGAUUGAAAGUUGAACCAAGCCAACACUCCAGUUGAUUAAUUCAUAACAGACAAAGAAUGUGUAAAGGAAAAAGGCAGGAGAUAAGACUAUGCAAGCAGACAUUCAAGGCAGCAAAGGGAAAAUAAAAGAUGAAAAGGGUUCAACCAAGAAAGCCAUACUCACAUUGUAAUCGCCAGCAUAGUCCAGCAAAUGGCCAUCUUUUACUUCCACUACUCUGUUAACUAUUUGCCUAAUAAAAUAUCGGUCAUGAGAAACAGUAAUGACAGUGCCACUGUACUCUCUAAUUGCCUCCUGAUAGAAUAAUGAGAGAUUGCAGAAUUAUUGAGUGAUAAACUAAAUGCUACAAUAUUGAUAAAAAAAAGUCAACCGGAGAAAAUAGAGAAAAGGUUAGAAAAAAACAAACCUCUAGCAUCUCUUUUGAGGGUAUAUCCAGGUGAUUAGUCGGUUCAUCCAAAACUAGUAGGGUUGACGGUUUUACCAUGAAUUUACAAAAGGCAAGACGUGCCUAAAUGAAACAGGAAAAGGCAACAUUCAAAUUCAUGCCUUUAAAACAAAAGAGGAAAGAUAAUGCAUAGCAUCUAAUAUGAUUAAACAUGCCAGGUGCUGACAAACAACAUGCAAUUCCCAUUAAUUCACAAAAAAAGCAUGCUUGGGAAGGAUCAGACAUGCAGAUCAUGACACAUUAAAGAGAACCAGAUUAGGUUAGUCUUGUAUCAAAAUUCAUCAGCUUGUGAAUGUUAAAAUUUGUUGAGGACUAGCCGAGCUAAGGUGGAAAACGGACUAAUUCCUGUCCUUGAACAUGUUGCCACACCUGGCUUGGUGGUCAACUUGGAAGAUAUUUUCCAGAGGUUUACAUUUGAUUCUACAUGCAUCUUGGUUACUGGCUACGACCCCGAGUGCCUUUCUGUGGAAUUCCCUGAAGUUCUUUUUGCCAAGGCCUUGGAUGAUGCUGAGGAAGCCAUAUUUUAUCGACAUGUCAGGCCACCAAGCCCUACUAAGUUGCUAAGGUGGCUGAACAUUGGGCAAGAGAAGAAAUAUAGAAAGGCAUGGGAAGUUCUUGAUGACAUAAUUGUUAAAUAUAUAUACCAGAAAUGGAAAGAACUGAACAAAAUGAACGAAGGGUUAAUAUGUGAAGAAGGUGUAGAUCUCUUAACAUCAUAUAUAUUAACUGAUCAAGAGAAGUCAUCAGGUUUGAAAUGUGAUGAUAAGUUCUUGAGAGACACCAUUUUGGGUAUGAUGCUUGCAGGGAGGGACACAACGAGCUCUGCUCUCACUUGGUUCUUUUGGCUGCUUUCUAAGCAUCUGGAAGUGGAAAACAAGAUCAUAGAAGAGCUUAAAUCAGCCAUACCCGCAGAGGAAACACAAAAGAAGCGACUAUUCAAUGCUGAAGAGGUAGAGAAUUUGGUUUAUCUACAUGGAGCAUUGUGUGAGGCAAUAAGGCUGUAUCCACCGGUUCCGUUCCAGCACAAGAAACCUCUAAAACCUGACAUUCUUCCCAGUGGGCAUCCAGUUGAUCCAAAGACUAAAAUCUUGUUUAACUUGUAUUCAAUGGGAAGAAUGAAUUCAAUCUGGGGGGAAGAUUGCUUAGAAUUCAAGCCUGAAAGAUGGAUUUCGAAGCGAGGGAUUAAACAUGAACCAUCAUACAAGUUCUUGUCCUUCAAUGCAGGGCCAAGGACCUGCAUAGGAAAGGAAGU